This 46-nucleotide non-coding RNA is filed under the name Schistosoma mansoni. The record is from RNAcentral. Lineage: Eukaryota; Metazoa; Platyhelminthes; Trematoda; Strigeidida; Schistosomatidae.
AAGUUGCUGAGGAGUCUCAUAAUAGGACGAAACGGUCGUCCAGUGU